UAUCGGUUUCUAUUGGUUUGAUACAGAUCAAGAGGUAAUGAUUAAUUGAAGCAGUUGGGGGCAUUAGUAUUGCGGCGCGAGAGGUGAAAUUCUUAGACCGUCGCAAGACUAACUAAAG
RNAcentral lists this non-coding RNA (118 nucleotides) under Clunio marinus. RNAcentral describes it as "Eukaryotic small subunit ribosomal RNA". It matches the Rfam family "Eukaryotic small subunit ribosomal RNA", at positions 828 to 945 of the family's 1831-position model. The record is from Rfam by way of RNAcentral. Lineage: Eukaryota; Metazoa; Arthropoda; Insecta; Diptera; Chironomidae.